This is a long non-coding RNA of Gorilla gorilla gorilla (western lowland gorilla), 554 nucleotides long. RefSeq lists it as uncharacterized. The record is from RefSeq and is a predicted model, not a curated record. NCBI's taxonomy places the organism in Eukaryota, Metazoa, Chordata, Mammalia, Primates, Hominidae. The transcript has 2 exons.
CAUCCCUAACUCCCGGCUCAUCCUAACAUAAGAGGCACUGCCAGGUCGCCCUCAGUACCUCAGCGUGUCUGGGUGCGAGGCAUCACAGCUGAACAAGAAGUCGGCGGCUCGCGGGUCACUGAUCGUUCCCCCUUCAGCCACUGUGGAGCUUCCUACCCCAGAAUUGCCUCAGAUCCUGGCUAACGCUGCCGCAAAACCAACCGCGCUGCCCUUGAAACAUGGCGUCGCCAAGCCUGCGGAGAUGUGAGAGAGGAGGCCGCAGAGCUGAGAUCCCUGAUUGGUUCCAGGUCCAAAGCCAAGCUCGAUGAUUGGUUCUCAAGAGGAAUGGCCGGGAAAGGCCUGAGGCCCUCAGAUGAGGGACAGUCACUACCAGACUGAGCUGACUGGUUCUCGGGAUCACUUAGGGGCCUCUCAGCCUUCCCCUGAUAAGAGGAGGGCGGCGACUCGAGUUGGUGAGGGUUUUUUGUUUGGUUGGUUGAUUUUGUUUUAAAUUUUGAGGUGGGGAGUUUUAAACCCUAAAUAUUAAUAAAGUUACCAUGCUUUAUGUUUACAGG